Molecule: transfer RNA, 74 nt
Filed under: Gordonia bronchialis
Lineage: Bacteria; Bacillati; Actinomycetota; Actinomycetes; Mycobacteriales; Gordoniaceae
Description: tRNA-Thr(cgt)
Rfam family: tRNA
About the family: Transfer RNA (tRNA) molecules are approximately 80 nucleotides in length. Their secondary structure includes four short double-helical elements and three loops (D, anti-codon, and T loops).
Source: RNAcentral
GCCGCCCUAGCUCAGUCGGUAGAGCAAUUCACUCGUAAUGAAUAGGUCAGGGGUUCGAUUCCCCUGGGCGGCUC